CCUACGGGAGGCAGCAGUGGGGAAUAUUGGGCAAUGGAGGAAACUCUGACCCAGCGACGCCGCGUGCGGGAUGAAGGCCUUCGGGUUGUAAACCGCUUUCAGUAGGGAAGAAGCGAAAGUGACGGUACCUACAGAAGAAGCACCGGCUAACUAUGUGCCAGCAGCCGCGGUAAUACAUAGGGUGCAAGCGUUGUCCGGAAUUAUUGGGCGUAAAGAGCUCGUAGGUGGUUCGUUACGUCGGAUGUGAAAAUCUGGGGCUCAACCCCAGACCUGCAUCCGA
Molecule: ribosomal RNA, 280 nt
Filed under: uncultured bacterium
Lineage: Bacteria
Description: partial 16S ribosomal RNA
Rfam family: Bacterial small subunit ribosomal RNA
Source: RNAcentral